UAUCACUAGCGCCAAAACGUCUGAUUUUCAGCUGCCAGCGUUUGCAGUGUCCGACUGUACCGGACUCUCCCGGUGACCAUGCUGCUCUGGGAACCGGCGGCGCAGCGAGAGACCGCUGCUGACGAACGGACGCAGAGCUCUCCGUCCGCCGAAGCUCCGACUGCUGUUGGUCUGCGUGGCGGGCCGCGCCGCCUCUCUGUAUUUAAUUGAGACAAUUUCAUAACCAGUAAAAAUAAAAACGUCUCGUAUGUCGCGUUAAAUACUUUCCCCCGGUUUUGGUACAGUUAAUUUUAACGCCUGAUGCGAGCCAUGUCGGAGUAGCCCACGCAUGAAAAUCAAAGUUGUGAGAGCUUUAGCGGCAUUGCCCUGACAUGUAGAAACGUCGUCUCACUCUGCCUCUCCGCUGAGGCCCGGUCACCUAACAGCAGCAGUUAAACUGUAUUAUUUUCACACUCUGAUGGUUACAUUUGCAACAAUAUGCGGUUCACAUGCAUGCCGAACUGUAGGGGCAGUCUGUUACUCUACAUCACUGACAAUUUAUUUAUCAAUAUUUCAAAAUAGAAAACGUUACACUUCAUAAUGUUUUGUGUCAUGGUAGCUGCGCCGUAUAUUUUCCUGCUUUUUUUGUCCUUUGCCAAUCACACCUAAGAUAAAACUAUAAAAACUCACUUGUGCAUUGCUAUGUUCCAAGGUAAUAUGAUCAGUGACACCAAAAUUAUUAAGAUCUUUUGACAUGUAUAGUGUCUCCUAUGCCACUAAUUAGGCCAUGGUAAAGCUAAUAAAGUAAAGAAAUAUAAUCAUUUGAUAUGACCGGUGUGGUCACCAGGACAUGCUGAGUACCCUCCAGGAUGAAAUAAAGAGUUGAGACUAGAGGCCAUUAGAGCUGUUCUUCUCAAAGCCCAGGAACAUUAAAUGUCCAAAAUCAGGGUGCAAAGUCUCUCAAAAGGAAGGUAGAGAGAGUUAGAAAAUAAUAUAUCUUAUUGUCCACCAUGACAAGUUGUCUGUUUAACUUCAGACAGUGAGCUGGAUUACCUUUACUCUUUUGCCCAAGUAAAGUAUAUCUGCAAUUUAUUUUCACCAUAUGACCUGUCAGGUAUCAUCCAGUAGAAACUAUUUUAAUUCAGUAACUUAAUUUAUUUGAUCCGCUGCACUUUGGAUCGAUAGACUGAGAUUAAAAAUGAUGUCUAAUGGAUGUUU
Long non-coding RNA from Sander lucioperca (pikeperch), 1197 nucleotides. RefSeq lists it as uncharacterized. The transcript has 3 exons. Lineage: Eukaryota; Metazoa; Chordata; Actinopteri; Perciformes; Percidae. The record is from RefSeq and is a predicted model, not a curated record.